GACAGAGGUCCCAAGCGUUGUUCGGAUUUACUGGGCGUAAAGGGCGCGUAGGCGGCUGGGCCAGUCCGGCGUGAAAGCCCGCAGCUUAACUGCGGAAGGGCGUCGGAUACUACCCGGCUCGAGGGUUGGAGAGGGGAUUGGAAUUCCCGGUGUAGCGGUGAAAUGCGUAGAGAUCGGGAAGAACGCCAGUGGCGAAGGCGAGUCCCUGGACAACUCCUGACGCUGAGGCGCGAAAGCCAGGGGAG
This 245-nucleotide ribosomal RNA is filed under the name uncultured bacterium. RNAcentral's name for it is "partial 16S ribosomal RNA". It matches the Rfam family "Bacterial small subunit ribosomal RNA", at positions 524 to 768 of the family's 1533-position model. The record is from RNAcentral.